RNAcentral lists this ribosomal RNA (497 nucleotides) under uncultured bacterium. RNAcentral describes it as "partial 16S ribosomal RNA". It matches the Rfam family "Bacterial small subunit ribosomal RNA", at positions 355 to 844 of the family's 1533-position model. The record is from RNAcentral.
UGGGGAAUUUUGGACAAUGGGCGCAAGCCUGAUCCAGCCAUGCCGCGUGCGGGAAGAAGGCCUUCGGGUUGUAAACCGCUUUGUCAGGGAAGAAAUCUUCUGAGUUAAUACCUCGGGAGGAUGACGGUACCUGAAGAAUAAGCACCGGCUAACUACGUGCCAGCAGCCGCGGUAAUACGUAGGGUGCAAGCGUUAAUCGGAAUUACUGGGCGUAAAGCGUGCGCAGGCGGUUUUGUAAGACAGAGGUGAAAUCCCCGGGCUCAACCUGGGAACUGCCUUUGUGACUGCAAGGCUUGAGUGCGGCAGAGGGGGGAUGGAAUUCCGCGUGUAGCAGUGAAAUGCGUAGAUAUGCGGAGGAACACCGAUGGCGAAGGCAAUCCCCUGGGCCUGCACUGGCGCUCAUGCACGAAAGCGUGGGGAGCAAACAGGAUUAGAUACCCUGGUAGUGCCACGCCCUAAACGAUGUCAACUGGUUGUUGGGAAGGUUCCUUCUCAGU